CAUAGCCCUCAUAGAGAUUGGAGGUGGCGCCUGCCCAAUGGGGUAUACUAACGAAAAUUAAUUUUUUUAAAUAUUCUGAAUGGCUGCAGUAACUAUGACUGUGUGAAUGUAGCAUAAUCAAUCGCCACUUAAUUAGUGGAUCGUAUGAAUGGCUGUACGAAAAUUUCGCUGUCUUAUAUGAACUAAAAAAAAAUUUAAAUUGUAGUUAAGAUGCUACAUAAAAUUGCAAGACGAAAAGACCCUAUAAAGCUUCACUACUAUUCUUUAAUAAAUAAUUAAGAAGAAAAAGGUAGUUUCAUUGGGGCGAUGAUCUCUAAAAACAAACAGAGUAUAAACAAAAUUAUGUGAUUAAUUUAUUGUUUAAUUUAUUGAUUUAACAAUUACAAAGUAGGUACAAGCGACCCAUUAAAAUUGUAUUUAAAAUUUAAUGAUCAACAAAUAAAAGCUACUUUAGGGAUAACAGGAUGAUCUUCUUUUAGAGCUCGUAUCGAAAAGAAGGCUUAUCACCUCGAUGUUGAAUUAAGAUACCCCAACAGUGCAGAAGCUGUUAAAGGUAGGUCUGUUCGACCUUAAAAAUCUUACAUG
This 585-nucleotide ribosomal RNA is filed under the name Lytocarpia canepa. RNAcentral describes it as "partial 16S ribosomal RNA". It matches the Rfam family "Bacterial large subunit ribosomal RNA", at positions 1814 to 2602 of the family's 2925-position model. Lineage: Eukaryota; Metazoa; Cnidaria; Hydrozoa; Leptothecata; Aglaopheniidae. The record is from RNAcentral.